Molecule: transfer RNA, 83 nt
Filed under: bacterium
Lineage: Bacteria
Also listed under: 1 other name
Description: tRNA-Leu
Rfam family: tRNA
About the family: Transfer RNA (tRNA) molecules are approximately 80 nucleotides in length.
Source: RNAcentral
GGGCAGGUGGCGAAAUUGGCUAGACGCGCCAGCCUUAGGAGCUGGUGGAGCAAUCCAUGGGAGUUCAAGUCUCCCCCUGCCCA